Molecule: ribosomal RNA, 460 nt
Filed under: uncultured bacterium
Lineage: Bacteria
Description: partial 16S ribosomal RNA
Rfam family: Bacterial small subunit ribosomal RNA
Source: RNAcentral
CCUACGGGAGGCAGCAGUGAGGAAUAUUGGUCAAUGGACGAGAGUCUGAACCAGCCAAGUCGCGUGAAGGAUGACUGCCCUAUGGGUUGUAAACUUCUUUUAUAUGGGAAUAAAAUGUUCCACGUGUGGGUUUUUGUAUGUACCAUAUGAAUAAGGAUCGGCUAACUCCGUGCCAGCAGCCGCGGUAAUACGGAGGAUCCGAGCGUUAUCCGGAUUUAUUGGGUUUAAAGGGAGCGUAGGUGGAUUGUUAAGUCAGUUGUGAAAGUUUGCGGCUCAACCGUAGAAUUGCAGUUGAUACUGGCAGUCUUGAGUACAGUAGAGGUGGGCGGAAUUCGUGGUGUAGCGGUGAAAUGCUUAGAGAUCACGAAGAACUCCGAUUGCGAAGGCAGCUCACUGGACUGCAACUGACACUGAGGCUCGAAAGUGUGGGUAUCAAACAGGAUUAGAUACCCGUGUAGUC